Molecule: long non-coding RNA, 265 nt
Filed under: Carica papaya (papaya)
Lineage: Eukaryota; Viridiplantae; Streptophyta; Magnoliopsida; Brassicales; Caricaceae
Description: long non-coding RNA (CPAP_LNC006922)
Source: RNAcentral
GAAACUUUGGGAGAGGGAGGAAAUAAGAGAAGCCAUUUUGCUGGUCUCCUUUGCAGUCUCCACUCUCCCUGGCAGAAAAGUCGACUUCAACUAAAAUGUCCGAAAUACCUUUUUUUAUUUCUACUGAGAAGACAGGUUUAUUUCAACUGAGAAGACAGGAUAAAGCUUGAACUCCUCAACUAAAAUGGUAAACCCUAAUUGUCAAUAUGCCACAACUAUGUUCUUUACUUUUUUUCCUUUCUUUGAAGGCUAAGUAAUAUGUGAG